Neopelma chrysocephalum (saffron-crested tyrant-manakin) is the source of this 2477-nucleotide long non-coding RNA. RefSeq lists it as uncharacterized. The transcript is spliced from 5 exons. The record is from RefSeq and is a predicted model, not a curated record. Lineage: Eukaryota; Metazoa; Chordata; Aves; Passeriformes; Pipridae.
CGCCCGUUCGCGGUAGCCAUUUGGGAAAUCGCUGUUUCUCUGCAUGGCUGAAAUACCCUGCAAGUUGCAGAAAUUGGACACCGUGGAAGGUGGAAUUCUGCUGCCUGUCCGCAGUGCCACGUAUGCCUCCUGCCUGGGGAGGUGGCGGAGUCCUCCUGUCCACAUAUGCCUCCUGUCCCUGGAGGUGUUUCCUGGACGUGGCGCCCAGUGCCAUGGUGUAGGUGACAUGGUGGUGUUCGGUUGUAGGUUGGACUUGAUGAUCUCAGAGGUCUUUUCCAACCUAAUUGAUUCUGUGAUUCUGUAUGUGGUGUCACCAAAUAAAGUGCUCCAAACCCCAAGUUCCAUGGCUUUAUUUUAGCUAUUCAUAAGGUGAUCAGAGCCUCUGUUUUGCAAGCACAUGUGACUGGCUGGUCAUGAGCCAAGGCCUUGAUUUCAGUGGCACAGGGUGGGAUCAGAGGCCGCACCAGUUUGUGUGCUUGAGAUUACUUGGGGAAGGGGCUGUGUGUGCUUGGACCACAACUUUGGAGGCAUCUGCAUACUUUGCAGUCAAAAAUAGUAACAAGCCAAUGAUGGUGACAGUGCUCAGACUAAGAGUAACCAAACGGCAUGAGAGGAUUUUAGUCCUGUGUGAUUCAAUCAGUGGGUGAAGUUCCACAGCAUUGACCCACCUCAUUAUUGAAAUACAUUUGGUUGCCCUUUGUAGCACAUUCAACAGCUAGGUCAACUUCUAAUAGAAUGGUCAACAAUUUUUCUUAUUUCUUUUUCAUCAUAGAUUUGUGCAAUUGCUUAUGUAACUCCCCAAAAAUGCCAACCCUUCACCGACACAAAGAAGAGAAAUUCUUCAUAAACGCUAAAGGCAGGAAAGAACCUGUACCAAGUAUACAUGAUCCCCCUACAAGGGAACUCUGUUGUGGUGCCUUCAUAUGACGAGGAAGACUGGUGUAAGAUUUUUCUUGUUUUGAGGAAAAGAAAAUCUAUCUGUUGUUAUUGUAAUAAUGCAGAGUACCUCUUAUGAUGGAUAAAGCUUUGGAUUAUCUAGAAAAAAGACAGAAGCGAGACUUAUGAAGUCAUAGUGGUUAAUGAUGGCAGUAAAGAUCAAACUACAAAGGGCAUUUGACGUGGAACUUCUUUAUAUAGCCCAGUGUUUGAAAAUACCUGUAGCAGAAGUUGCUGUCAACUGGACUGAAAUAGAAGGUUCUAAGUUAGUAGAAGUUUGGAGCUGGCUGCAGAUGGGCAGAGAUCUUCUUAUUAUAUGACUGCAAUAUAUGACUGGUGCCUAGCAGCUUGAAAGAAGAAAAUAUAAUUAGGUUAUUUACAUUUUCCAAAUAUAUUAUUAUAUUUAAUGGAACAUGAGAACAGUUUCAAUCAAAUGAAGUGGUGAUGAAAGCUGAGGUAAUUUGUCAUUGCUCCUGCUCUUAUAUGUUUCAUUUUUGCAGCAUGUAUGUGUUUUGUAAGAUUGCCGGCAAGGAAUUUGUACAUUUUUAAAAGAGAAAGCAUUUCAAAAAAGAUUUUCUUACCUGGUAAUCAGUUUUUAUUUUAUUAAAUAGUAGCUUUAACAUGUCUUAUAAAUUAAUUCAAAUAAAUAUAUCUGCUUUUGUCUCAUCACACUUCUGGAAUUUCUAUACAUGUAUUAAAAAGAGGCACUCUAUUUUACGUUGUGCAGUGUUGUGUCGUGAAUGACCACAACCAUUUGUUUCUGUGAUAUCUGGAAAUUUUAGGCGAUAUUGCAACUUGGAAUUAUCAUUCAUGGUUCACACUGAUGCAUGUUUAGAUUCAAUGUUAUUGGAAACAUUAAUGGAUUUUACUGAGUUAUAACAGUAAUGUUCUUAAAGUUGUUCUAAGGACUUCUCAGUAGUCUCUUAAAAUUCCAAAUGUUUUUGUCUGAAGCUGAAAUAGUUUUCCUGAGAUCAAACUGUAGAUCAUGUGCAGACUGUAGAAGGUCCAAGACCAAGCACAUUUAGUUUUAAAAUGUUGUCUUUUAUAAAUGUGUUUUGUUCGUGUGUACUAAUUAUUCCUGCCUGCUCAAGGCUAGAAGUCCUUGACAUCUACAGGUCUGAAAGUGAAGAGGUUAUGGAAAGCUAGUUCAGAGCAUGCAAAAAUGAGACCCAGUAUACACUGGGGGGGCUGUGCAUUAGCAAUGCCAAUCUGAUGUUGUCACACUUCAAAUGAGAUCAGAGAGGGAGGGAGGGGUCUUGAGUCUUUCAUAGUAAUGUCAUGCUAUGUUACAGUACAGUAACAUAGUUUCAUUUGUGCUUUCAAAAUAGUUGUGGAUUGCCAACAAACUAAGCCAGUCUGUCUUUCAGAAACAUGUACAAAUUUGAACAGUUGUAAAGAAUGAAUGGUAUAUGGUUGUACUUUCACAUGGAAAUUCACUGGUGAUUUUUCUUAUUCUUUCUGUAAUAUUGACUUGGAUUUUGUUCCUGUUAGGGUUACCUCAGUUUUCUGUCAAGUGCUGGAAUAAAUUCUCAAAAAAUAUA